This 497-nucleotide ribosomal RNA is filed under the name uncultured bacterium. RNAcentral's name for it is "partial 16S ribosomal RNA". It matches the Rfam family "Bacterial small subunit ribosomal RNA", at positions 28 to 507 of the family's 1533-position model. The record is from RNAcentral.
GAUGAACGCUGGCGGCGUGCCUAAUACAUGCAAGUAGAACGCUGAAGGAAGGAGCUUGCUCUUUCCGGAUGAGUUGCGAACGGGUGAGUAACGCGUAGGUAACCUGCCUGGUAGCGGGGGAUAACUAUUGGAAACGAUAGCUAAUACCGCAUAACAGUAGAUGUUGCACGACAACUAUUUGAAAGGGGCAAUUGCUCCACUACCAGAUGGACCUGCGUUGUAUUAGCUAGUUGGUGAGGUAACGGCUCACCAAGGCGACGAUACAUAGCCGACCUGAGAGGGUGAUCGGCCACACUGGGACUGAGACACGGCCCAGACUCCUACGGGAGGCAGCAGUAGGGAAUCUUCGGCAAUGGACGGAAGUCUGACCGAGCAACGCCGCGUGAGUGAAGAAGGUUUUCGGAUCGUAAAGCUCUGUUGUAAGAGAAGAACGAGUGUGAGAGUGGAAAGUUCACACUGUGACGGUAUCUUACCAGAAAGGGACGGCUAACUACGUG